Molecule: long non-coding RNA, 256 nt
Filed under: Mytilus galloprovincialis (Mediterranean mussel)
Lineage: Eukaryota; Metazoa; Mollusca; Bivalvia; Mytilida; Mytilidae
Source: RNAcentral
UCCUGGCUACAAGCUAUGUAUGAAUACUGUUUGCUGAAGUCCUUUUGCUGAAAUUCAAAAAAAAUACAUUAUCAUCAGCAUAUAGUAAACAAUGUAAAUUGCUAACCCCUUUAAUAUUCUUUAGAAAGAAGUUUAAGGAUCCAUACUGUGAAGGAUUUUUUUUUACUCGUGUAGUAAUUUUGACUCUAAAUAUGCCUCCUCUAGUAGUGGAAAGAUGAUCCCAAAUUGUCAAGCCUGUGCCAGUAUCUGAUCAUAG